GAAGGACUAAGGAGCUUUCAAACAAUCUUCCAAGGAGGACUACGGAUUUCCACAUAUGGAUUCAGGUACGCUUCCGCUCAUGUAGUAAUUCCAAAUAAUUUCGAUAUGAAGGCUAUUGUGUUUUAGUCGGAAUCAUAAUUCGAACACAUAGACCUUGAGUAAAACACAUUUUGCAUUCACAAAUUGAUAAUUACAUACUUAUGAGAAAAGAGAAACAAAUACCUUGUUUAUGACAGAUUUAAAUGUAACAAAUUCCAAAGCAAGGGUAUAAUGAAGCUCAGCUUCCAGCGUGCAUCCAAAAUCAGCAAGCAAACAGCUCAUCUACAGCCUCCAAUAACGGACCAGAUUCAGCUUGAAAACCCAGGAAAUGAUGUAGGUCUCUUUGAAUCGACAAACACAAACUAAUUAUUUUUGAGUGUAGAAAUCAAUCUUUAUUCUAUUGUUUGAAGCUGGAAAUUUCAGAUCUUAGAAAGGAAUUUAUGAAUUUCAAAAUCAGUUUUUAGAUGUUUCUAAAUAUGUGUAGAUGAGUGCGUGUGUUAGUGAGAUAAGAAGAGGAACGAGGGGUCGUUCAUUUCAGCUUGGGACUUGGAGAAAAUGAAGGAGAAGUAGAACAGAGCUACUGGGCGCCGUCUCCUCCUUUUGUGAAGGGAUAUGAUAUGGACAAAUC
This 667-nucleotide long non-coding RNA is filed under the name Nicotiana benthamiana. RNAcentral describes it as "long non-coding RNA (NBEN_LNC025350)". Lineage: Eukaryota; Viridiplantae; Streptophyta; Magnoliopsida; Solanales; Solanaceae. The record is from RNAcentral.